GGUCUGCUGGCCCAAUGGAAAGGCGUCUGACUACGAAUCAGGAGAUUGCAGGUUCGACCCCUGCGUAGAUCA
The sequence is a transfer RNA, 72 nucleotides long. It matches the Rfam family "tRNA". Rfam says of the family: Transfer RNA (tRNA) molecules are approximately 80 nucleotides in length. Their secondary structure includes four short double-helical elements and three loops (D, anti-codon, and T loops). The record is from Rfam.